Molecule: transfer RNA, 62 nt
Filed under: Amblyomma mixtum
Lineage: Eukaryota; Metazoa; Arthropoda; Arachnida; Ixodida; Ixodidae
Description: tRNA-Glu
Source: RNAcentral
AUUUAAAUAGUGUAUUUCAACACUUAACAUUUUCAUUGUUAAAAUUCCCAUGGAUUUAAAUA